This 253-nucleotide ribosomal RNA is filed under the name uncultured bacterium. RNAcentral describes it as "partial 16S ribosomal RNA". It matches the Rfam family "Bacterial small subunit ribosomal RNA", at positions 524 to 776 of the family's 1533-position model. The record is from RNAcentral.
UACGGAGGGUGCAAGCGUUAUCCGGAUUCACUGGGUUUAAAGGGAGCGUAGGUGGGUCUGUAAGUCAGUGGUGAAAUCUCCGGGCUUAACCUGGAAACUGCCAUUGAUACUAUAGGUCUUGAAUAUUGUGGAGGUUAGCGGAAUAUGUCAUGUAGCGGUGAAAUGCUUAGAUAUGACAUAGAACACCAAUUGCGAAGGCAGCUGGCUAAACAAAUAUUGACACUGAUGCACGAAAGCGUGGGGAUCAAACAGG